This 253-nucleotide ribosomal RNA is filed under the name uncultured bacterium. Its description in RNAcentral is "partial 16S ribosomal RNA". It matches the Rfam family "Bacterial small subunit ribosomal RNA", at positions 524 to 776 of the family's 1533-position model. The record is from RNAcentral.
UACGAAGGGGGCUAGCGUUGCUCGGAAUCACUGGGCGUAAAGCGCACGUAGGCGGACUCUUAAGUCGGUGGUGAAAUCCUGGAGCUCAACUCCAGAACUGCCUUCGAUACCGGGAGUCUUGAGUCCGAGAGAGGUGAGUGGAACUGCGAGUGUAGAGGUGAAAUGCGCAGAUAUCAGGAGGAACACCAAUGGCGAAGGCAGCUCGCUGGGACGGUACUGACGCUGAGACGCGAAAGCGUGGGGAGCAAACAGG